RNAcentral lists this ribosomal RNA (492 nucleotides) under uncultured bacterium. RNAcentral's name for it is "partial 16S ribosomal RNA". It matches the Rfam family "Bacterial small subunit ribosomal RNA", at positions 29 to 507 of the family's 1533-position model. The record is from RNAcentral.
AGUGAACGCUGGCGGUAGGCCUAACACAUGCAAGUCGAACGGCAGCACAGUAAGAGCUUGCUCUUACGGGUGGCGAGUGGCGGACGGGUGAGGAAUACAUCGGAAUCUACUUUUUCGUGGGGGAUAACGUAGGGAAACUUACGCUAAUACCGCAUACGACCUACGGGUGAAAGCAGGGGAUCUUCGGACCUUGCGCGAUUGAAUGAGCCGAUGUCGGAUUAGCUAGUUGGCGGGGUAAAGGCCCACCAAGGCGACGAUCCGUAGCUGGUCUGAGAGGAUGAUCAGCCACACUGGAACUGAGACACGGUCCAGACUCCUACUGGAGGCAGCAGUGGGGAAUAUUGGACAAUGGGGGCAAGCCUGAUCCAGCCAUACCGCGUGAGUGAAGAAGGCCUUCGGGUUGUAAAGCCCUUUUGUUGGGAAAGAAAAGCAGCAGGUUAAUACCCCGCUGUUCUGACGGUACCCAAAGAAUAAGCACCGGCUAACUUCGUG